GAUUCCCCUAGUAACUGCGAGUGAAGCGGGAAAAGCUCAAAUUUAAAAUCUGGUGGUCUUUGGCCAUCCGAGUUGUAAUCUAGAGAAGUGUUAUCCGCGCUGGACCGUGUACAAGUCCCCUGGAAUGGGGCGUCAUAGAGGGUGAGAAUCCCGUCUUUGACACGGACUACCAGGGCUUUGUGAUGCACUCUCAAAGAGUCGAGUUGUUUGGGAAUGCAGCUCAAAAUGGGUGGUAAAUUCCAUCUAAAGCUAAAUAUUGGCGAGAGACCGAUAGCGAACAAGUACCGUGAGGGAAAGAUGAAAAGAACUUUGGAAAGAGAGUUAAACAGUACGUGAAAUUGUUGAAAGGGAAACGCUUGAAGUCAGUCGCGUCUGCCAGGGAUCAACCUUACUUUUGUGAGGCGUACUUCCUGGUUGAUGGGUCAGCAUCAGUUUUGGUUGCUGGAUAAAGGUCAGAGAAAUGUGGCACCUUCGGGUGUGUUAUAGUCUUUGAUCAGAUACAGUGGCUGGGACUGAGGAACUCAGCGCCGCAAGGCUGUCUUAGGAUGCUGGCAAAAUGGCUUUAAUCGACCCGUCUUGAAACACGGACCAAGGAGUCUAACAUGCCUGCGAGUGUUUGGGUGGAAAACCCGAGCGCGUAAUGAAAGUGAAAGUUGGGACCCCUGUCAUGGGGAGCACCGACGCCCAUACCAGAAGUUUACGGACGGAUAUGCGGUGGAGCAUGUAUGUUGGGACCCGAAAGAUGGUGAACUAUGCCUGAAUAGGGCGAAGCCAGAGGAAACUCUGGUGGAGGCUCGUAGCGAUUCUGACGUGCAAAUCGAUCGUCGA
This 828-nucleotide ribosomal RNA is filed under the name Pleurotus eryngii. RNAcentral's name for it is "partial large subunit ribosomal RNA". It matches the Rfam family "Eukaryotic large subunit ribosomal RNA", at positions 73 to 908 of the family's 3401-position model. Lineage: Eukaryota; Fungi; Basidiomycota; Agaricomycetes; Agaricales; Pleurotaceae. The record is from RNAcentral.